ACACCAGGAAUAACCGACUUCACUCCAACCAAUCUGAAUUCACAGAAAUCCUGUAAUCACAGACUUCCUCUGUCAAAACACACACACACAACUCUCAAUAAACAACAAUCAUAAUCUUCCAUCUAUAAUCAAUCUUCCAAUAGCUUUUCAUAUAAUUCAAUCACUUAGUACUCCAAUUACAUAAUCAAUAACUCAUAAAUCAAUCUUUGAUUUAUUCCACAGACUCACUUUUUAGUAUUCAAAAACUAUCCAUUACUCUUCAAUAACAAAGAAAACAAAGAGGAAGCACCA
RNAcentral lists this long non-coding RNA (291 nucleotides) under Physcomitrium patens. Its description in RNAcentral is "long non-coding RNA (PPAT_LNC009550)". Lineage: Eukaryota; Viridiplantae; Streptophyta; Bryopsida; Funariales; Funariaceae. The record is from RNAcentral.